CCGGGCUGAGAGUGGACGGCUUCCACGGCAGCCACGCGCCACCCGGCGGCCUGCAGCGCGUGGAUGUGGCCGUGUGCACCAUCGAGAAAGCCAACAGUCUAGUCAACAGGCUGAUGGAGGAGCGGACGCUGUUCCGGGUCGGCUGCCUGGUAGCAGACGAGCUGCACCUGCUCGGGGACCCACGCCGCGGCUACCUCCUGGAGGUGCUACUCACCAAGCUGCUCUUCAUGAACAGGGCGACUGAGAGUCCGGAGCGCCGUAUCCAGCUGGUGGGCAUGUCGGCCACGCUGCCGAACCUGGCGCUGCUGGCCGGCUGGCUGUCGGCCGGUCUCUACG
Long non-coding RNA from Pollicipes pollicipes, 336 nucleotides. RefSeq lists it as uncharacterized. The transcript has 3 exons. The record is from RefSeq and is a predicted model, not a curated record. NCBI's taxonomy places the organism in Eukaryota, Metazoa, Arthropoda, Thecostraca, Pollicipedomorpha, Pollicipedidae.